AGCUCAGUUGGUUAGAGCAUUAGUUUUGGAUACGUAGGUUCGAAUCCUACACGCA
Molecule: transfer RNA, 55 nt
Filed under: Flavobacteriales bacterium
Lineage: Bacteria; Pseudomonadati; Bacteroidota; Flavobacteriia; Flavobacteriales
Description: tRNA-OTHER
Source: RNAcentral